Molecule: long non-coding RNA, 1892 nt
Filed under: Ananas comosus (pineapple)
Lineage: Eukaryota; Viridiplantae; Streptophyta; Magnoliopsida; Poales; Bromeliaceae
Description: long non-coding RNA (ACOM_LNC003879)
Source: RNAcentral
AUUUAUAACUAUUUUGCCGGUUUAAGAGGUUUCGCUCUAUUAUAUCUUAUAUAUAGGACUUCUAAAUUAUGGGGUCUCACAUUCUCCUCCACUUUAAGUCUUGACAUUCUUGUUAUACUCAAACUGCCAAGUACCAGGUGUGAGACUCGUCUCACUAGCCAUAAUGGCUCGGCCAAGACUCAUUCACACUUUCAGUUGGUAAUUAGCUCUGAUACCAACUAUGACAUCCAACUUUCCAGGGGGUCACCUAUCCUAUAAUUAUUCUAGCCCUAACACUCUUAACUAUCUUAACCUUUUGAGCAUAUCCAUCACCCAAAAUGUUAUAUCCAGGUUAAAAGAUUUCGAUCUAUUAUAUCUUAUACAUAAAACUAUUCCAAAUCUUGGGGUCUCAAUUUGAGACUUAAGUUUACUAUUAAAAGUUUCAACUUAGUCUCAAAUAAUUUUAAAUUGUGCAACUUAAGUCUCAAACAGUGCAAUUUCUAUUUAAUGUUGUGCAAUUUAGUUUCAAAUAAUUAUAAAUAGUGCAGCUUUAUCUCAAACAGUGCAACUUAGAUUCAAAUAGUAUAAUUUUUGCCUUAAAUAAUGCAACUUUAUUUUCUUCUUUUUAUUUUCUACUUCUUGAAGUUUUCUGUAACGGUCAUGACAUAUAAUGACCUUCACUAGAGAAAUUUUUUUAUUUUUCUUAUAUUUUUCUUUUUUAUUAUUUCUCCUUCUUCCUUUUCUUUCACUUUUUGUAUCUUUUUUCAUUACUGCACCUCAUCCCUUGUCCUCUGCCACAACCGUCGCUCCCCCAGUACCAACUUGCUCUCCCUCCCCAUCAUUCUUAAGCUGUGUUUGGUUGGAGUAUAAGUAAGAACUGCUUAUUUCAAGAAUAGGUACAAGUUCAGUUAUAAGCAGAAAUUAGACAAAUUUUAUGUUUGGAUGAAAAUUGAGUUGUUUUUAGGAAUAAGGUAAAUAGUGUUUGGAUAGUUAUAUUGGAACAAAAAGAAUAAGAGUUAUAAUUUUAAAUUAAAAUUAUUUUAUCUAAUUGAUUAACAUCAAAAUAUUACUUAAAAAAUAAAUUAAUAUCAAUAAUUAUAAAUAAUAAAUUAAUUAAAUAAUAAUAAAUUAUAAAUAAUUAUAAAUAAUAAAUUAAUUAAUAAAAAAAUUAAUUAGAUAAUAACUUAUAAAAAAUUUUAAUAAUUGUAAAUUAUAGAUUAAUUAAUUAAUUAAUAAUUAAUAAUUAAUUAAUAAUUAAUACUAAAAAAUUAAAAAUAAUAAAUAUUAAUUAAUAAUAAUUUAUUAAUAAUAAAUUAAUUAGAUAAUAUAGUAUAAAUUAUAAACUAAUAAUAAUUAUAAAUAAUAAAUUAUUACUAAUUAUAAAUUAUAAAUAAAUUAAUUAAUAAUAAAAAUAUUAAUUAAUUAAUUAUUAAUAAUUAUAAAUAAAAUAUUAUUAAUAAUUAUAAAUCAUAAAUUAUUUAAUUAAUAUUAAAUUAAUUAAUUAGAUAAUUAUAAAUAAAAAUAAUUUAAAUAACUUAAUUAAUUAUAGUUAAUUAAUAGUAGAUCAAUUAUUAAUUAAUAAUAAAUAAAUUAAUAAUAAAUUAUUAUAAAUAAAUAAAUAAAUAAAUAAUUUUAUUAUUUAAGCAAUAAAUAAUAAUUUAUAUGCAGUGUUUCUGAACUUUGGAUAGGAUUGGCUUCAGUGUAAGUGACUGGUCGGCGCAUCUAGAGAGUGUCGGACUGAGUUUCUCCGCGAAAUGGAUGAAGAAAUGGACUCGGCGCACUCAAAUAGGAAAACUGGAGUUUUGCCACAUUCGGGCGCCCAGAACUGGUCUUGGGUCGCCCAGAAGUUGAGUGCAGUUUUGAUCAGAACUGGAAGCCAAUUCGGGUCCAUAUUUCGGGCACCCGAAUGAGGG